GAGUCAAUUAGGCAACACCUGAGGCACUUAAGGUGAGCCUGGGUGUGGAGCAAGGGGGUUCAGUAACUGAGAGAGGCUGUGAGGGGUAGACUGGACAGGAUGCAAACUUCCCUGAUCCUGGGACUCCAGAGAACGACUGCCUGGCGUGGGCAGUGUGGACUUUUGUUAUACCAUUCGUUGGAAAGGCAACAGUUUGACAUUCUAAAGAAUUUUACCUAAGCAAAGCGGAAGGAUGCUCACAGAUACCAUCAGUGGUUGGAUCCAUUCUCCUUAAAUCCAUCCUUUCCUGACAAAAUUUCUCUUAUCUCUGCACAGCAGACGACCUGUGGUCACCUUACAUCAAGCACAGGAACGCAUCUGGCACCUGAGCAGACACGGAACUAGCAAUCUCUCUUCCCAGCUGCCCUGCUCAGGUCCCCACAACAUCAAGAUUAAUUAAAUCAUGCAUCUAAUUGAAUGGCGUCACCACAGCUAAUGUAUUCAGCAGAGAGGUCUACAUUAAAUAAAAAUACAUGUGACAAAUGUUAUAAUUCCUUAAACUUUGCUUAGGGCUUGAUAACAAGGGAACUCAAACAGAAAGAAACUGAAGUUUAUUCUGAAUGGGACAAUUUUAUAUCUUCAAGCAAAAAUGUGUUUUCGUAUUAACACUUUUAUGAAGUUGAUACCAAUACUGUACAAUUCUGUGCCUUUUGAAAUAACAUCAGGUAUAUUAUAGAUAUUUUUAGAAGACAAAAAAUGAUCUGUAGUUUUGUAGUGUCAACAUUUAGUUCAUUAAAAAUGCAAAUCAAUAGGCAUUUGCCACAUGCAAAUAAACCAGCUAAUAUGACUUUUUUUUUAUA
Long non-coding RNA from Xenopus tropicalis (tropical clawed frog), 839 nucleotides. RefSeq lists it as uncharacterized. The record is from RefSeq and is a predicted model, not a curated record. The transcript has 3 exons. NCBI's taxonomy places the organism in Eukaryota, Metazoa, Chordata, Amphibia, Anura, Pipidae.